UCACACAGGUGCCUCUGCCCCCCCGGAUGGCAGAAUAAAACGCUCUUUCUCUGGAUUAACCCCUUGGUGUCGUUUAGCUCCUUUUGUCUCUGCUCAGGUGCAACAAUUAUUCCGACCCAUGGAUUAAUAAGGCUACAUAUUUCUGGUGCGUUGGCCGGGAAAAGCACGUUCCCCGAGAUCGAGGGACAAAGAGGUCCAGGGCGUCACUGCAAGGCGAGCAGCUCGGGAUACCGGGUCAACAGUUCCAGCGCGCAUCCUGCCAACUUCGUGGGAGGAACUGGCCACCCGUUCCUGAGUGGACACGCGACAAAGUGACGGAGAGAAAGAGCAACGGCCGUGCAGAAAGAAGGUACCUUGAGGAAAAAGGUGGAUUUUUGCCAGCAUACCUCUGCAUCCCUAUGAACCAGGUGAAGAGGACCCAGAUGCCCAGACAUCGCUCCAGCCUUGUUGGAAGGGACCCAAGAUGCCCAACGCCCACCAGAUGACCCGACGCCCACCAGACUACAGCCCUGCUAAACGUCACUCCUGGACGCUGGCGUUUUGCACGGCUCAAGAAUCCAGCAUGGAUUGAAAGGGGACAUUUUCUUUCCUUUCCUUUUGCAUAACUGAACUUUAUUGAAGGUACCUGGACCUGGUUUGCUUUACGCCACCCCUGCAGAGGAGGGUGUCUAGUGGGUCUUUUCUUUCAGCGUGAUUACACCCCAGCCCACUCUCUAGCACUUACCUAAGCCCCUCCCCGUGCAUACAAUGGCUAAAAUACGACUGUGGGUCCCCGUGCUGGUAUUUCUGCUGCCUUUGACCUUUGAAAUGCCAAUACCACUCACAGUGACCAGGCAACUGCUGCAAUCGUGGGGGGCCCACCACACAUAUAAUAAAUGGAUUCAGGUUGCUGAGAUGGUUGCGUUCUCUGCAAAUCGGACCAAUUGUGCCGUCUGCACUCUGGCCCCUGUAGAUGCUCUCGGAGGAAUGCCACUCCUCCCUGUGCCUUGGAAUGAAUCCUUGGUUACAACUCCACUUGUUGCCUUCCAGUCUCUGGGCAACCAUUCUUCUUUAUGGAAUCAUUCUGUCCCUUUCCAGGUUCACAGGAUCACUGGCUGCCUUUGUGUCAACAAAUCAAAUGACGCCAGUGACGCUCAGACCUAUGUGGGCACUUCCCACUGUGAUUGUACCUUCCCAGCCCCAACUAACAUGCCUGAGUCCGAGACAGGAACCUUUUCUGGUUCCAAUUUGACUGCAUGCCUGGCCCGCUUGCUGAGAGGCACCAUAUCUGCCCAUGGUCAGGACGUUUACUGGGUGUGUGGCAGGAAGGCCUAUCAUGCCCUCCCAAGAGGAUGGUAUGGGGUCUGUUUUCCAGUCUACUUAAUACCCCCAUGUGGAUUCCUGACCAGAUACCCUCUGCACCCCCUAGAAGGAGGCGUUCGGCUGACCUGGCAACACUUGCAGGUGGCAGCUCCCAGAAUUGGGGCAAAAA
Molecule: non-coding RNA, 1471 nt
Organism: Podarcis muralis (Common wall lizard)
Lineage: Eukaryota; Metazoa; Chordata; Lepidosauria; Squamata; Lacertidae
Source: RefSeq, a predicted model, not a curated record